CUCCAGGAAGCAGCUCCCCUGUCCUCCCGCGCAAUGCUGUGUGGAGCGUUGCCAUGGUAACGUGCGUGCAACGCUCCACACAGCAUCGCGCGGCAGGACAGUGGAGCUGCUUCCUGGAG
Molecule: non-coding RNA, 119 nt
Organism: Pelobates cultripes (western spadefoot toad)
Lineage: Eukaryota; Metazoa; Chordata; Amphibia; Anura; Pelobatidae
Source: the annotation of a GenBank genome assembly